RNAcentral lists this ribosomal RNA (456 nucleotides) under Escherichia coli. RNAcentral describes it as "bacterial SSU rRNA". It matches the Rfam family "Bacterial small subunit ribosomal RNA", at positions 30 to 473 of the family's 1533-position model. Lineage: Bacteria; Pseudomonadati; Pseudomonadota; Gammaproteobacteria; Enterobacterales; Enterobacteriaceae. The record is from RNAcentral.
AUUGAACGCUGGCGGCAGGCUUAACACAUGCAAGUCGAACGGUAACAGGAAACAGCUUGCUGUUUCGCUGACGAGUGGCGGACGGGUGAGUAAUGUCUGGGAAACUGCCCGAUGGAGGGGGAUAACUACUGGAAACGGUAGCUAAUACCGCAUAACGUCGCAAGACCAAAGAGGGGGACCUUCGGGCCUCUUGCCAUCGGAUGUGCUCAGAUGGGAUUAGCUAGUAGGUGGGGUAACAGCUCACCUAGGCGACGAUCCCUAGCUGGUCUGAGAGGAUGACCAGCCACACUGGAACUGAGACACGGUCCAGACUCCUACGGGAGGCAGCAGUGGGGAAUAUUGCACAAUGGGCGCAAGCCUGAUGCAGCCAUGCCGCGUGUAUGAAGAAGGCCUUCGGGUUGUAAAGUACUUUCAGCGGGGAGGAAGGGAGUAAAGUUAAUACCUUUGCUCAUUGAC